AAUCAACGCUGGCGGCGUGCCUCAGACAUGCAAGUCGAACGAUUAAAGCUCUCUUCGGAGAGUGUAUAGAGUGGCGCACGGGUGAGUAACACGUAAGUAAUCUACCUUUGAGUGGGGAAUAACAAUCGGAAACGAUUGCUAAUACCGCAUAAUGCAGCGGCAUCGCAAGAUGACAGUUGUUAAAGGAGCAAUCCGCUUAAAGAGGAGCUUGCGGCAGAUUAGCUAGUUGGUAAGGUAAUGGCUUACCAAGGCUACGAUCUGUAACCGGUCUAAGAGGACGGUCGGUCACACUGACACUGAAUAACGGGUCAGACUCCUACGGGAGGCAGCAGUCGGGAAUUUUGGGCGAAUGGGCGAAAGACCU
RNAcentral lists this ribosomal RNA (364 nucleotides) under uncultured bacterium. RNAcentral describes it as "bacterial SSU rRNA". It matches the Rfam family "Bacterial small subunit ribosomal RNA", at positions 32 to 384 of the family's 1533-position model. The record is from RNAcentral.